CAUGAAGUCGGAAUUGCUAGUAAUCGCGGAUCAGCAUGCCGCGGUGAAUACGUUCUCGGGCCUUGUACACACCGCCCGUCACACCAUGGGAGUCGGUAACACCCGAAGUCUGUAGCCUGACGCAAGAGGGCGCAGCCGAAGGUGGGAUUGAUGACUGGGGUGAAGUCGUAACAAGGUAGC
This 180-nucleotide ribosomal RNA is filed under the name uncultured bacterium. Its description in RNAcentral is "partial 16S ribosomal RNA". It matches the Rfam family "Bacterial small subunit ribosomal RNA", at positions 1319 to 1500 of the family's 1533-position model. The record is from RNAcentral.